This 58-nucleotide transfer RNA is filed under the name Salmo salar (Atlantic salmon). It matches the Rfam family "tRNA", at positions 8 to 63 of the family's 71-position model. From Rfam's summary of the family: Transfer RNA (tRNA) molecules are approximately 80 nucleotides in length. Their secondary structure includes four short double-helical elements and three loops (D, anti-codon, and T loops). Lineage: Eukaryota; Metazoa; Chordata; Actinopteri; Salmoniformes; Salmonidae. The record is from Rfam by way of RNAcentral.
UGACUCAGUUGGUAGAGCAUGGUGUUUGCAAUGCCAGGGUUGUGGGUUUGAUUCCCAC